Molecule: ribosomal RNA, 565 nt
Filed under: uncultured bacterium
Lineage: Bacteria
Description: bacterial SSU rRNA
Rfam family: Bacterial small subunit ribosomal RNA
Source: RNAcentral
GGAAUUUUGGACAAUGGGCGCAAGCCUGAUCCAGCAAUGCCGCGUGCAGGAUGAAGGCCUUCGGGUUGUAAACUGCUUUUGUACGGAACGAAACGGUCUCUUCUAAUACAAGAGGCUAAUGACGGUACCGUAAGAAUAAGCACCGGCUAACUACGUGCCAGCAGCCGCGGUAAUACGUAGGGUGCGAGCGUUAAUCGGAAUUACUGGGCGUAAAGCGUGCGCAGGCGGUUAUAUAAGACAGAUGUGAAAUCCCCGGGCUCAACCUGGGACCUGCAUUUGUGACUGUAUAGCUAGAGUACGGUAGAGGGGGAUGGAAUUCCGCGUGUAGCAGUGAAAUGCGUAGAUAUGCGGAGGAACACCGAUGGCGAAGGCAAUCCCCUGGACCUGUACUGACGCUCAUGCACGAAAGCGUGGGGAGCAAACAGGAUUAGAUACCCUGGUAGUCCACGCCCUAAACGAUGUCAACUGGUUGUUGGGUCUUCACUGACUCAGUAACGAAGCUAACGCGUGAAGUUGACCGCCUGGGGAGUACGGCCGCAAGGUUGAAACUCAAAUGAAUUGACGG